CUUCUAAUGUUUGUUACUGGAAAACCAAGAAGAUUGGUAAGAUUCAUUGAAGAAGAAGCAUAUAGUAAUAGUGUACUCUUGUUUGGAAAGAGAAAAACUGUAUAAUCAGCUGGAAAAACCAAAAACAUGUCACAAGCGCAUGGAAGAAGAAACUAAAUAUCCAGAUAAAUGAGGUGGAGAAAUUUGGGAAAGGGAACUUUUCAUUCCACGUUAGAUGUCUGAAGUAUUUGUGUCAGACCAAUUAAUCUUUCACGGUUCUUCAAGUGCUGUCUGUUGAAAAUCUAGAAUAUCUUUUUUGUACAGCUAUAAAUUCUAUGUAUAUCCCAUGAUUUCUACUCUAUUUUAGGAUAGAAUAAUUUACUCCUAAUGUAUUUUAGGAUAGAAUAAAUUAGCUCCUCAUUUCUAGGAGAUUACAGAUUUCAUAAAAUUAACAAAAGUCAAAUUCCAUUUGUAUAAAUGUUGUACAGAGUCUAGAACAAAAUAGAACAAUUCAGUUUUCUUUUUGUUCAUGGUAUCAGAGCUUUUGCUCUUGGAACCUCUUCUUGUCAGCCUUCAAAGCUGAGUGCUUUCUUCUUUUCAAGUCUUUAUUGCCAAA
This is a non-coding RNA of Coffea arabica (coffee), 595 nucleotides long. Lineage: Eukaryota; Viridiplantae; Streptophyta; Magnoliopsida; Gentianales; Rubiaceae. The record is from RefSeq and is a predicted model, not a curated record.